Molecule: non-coding RNA, 70 nt
Organism: Ameiurus melas (black bullhead)
Lineage: Eukaryota; Metazoa; Chordata; Actinopteri; Siluriformes; Ictaluridae
Source: the annotation of a GenBank genome assembly
AGUGCGGUAGUGUGGUUAACACGCUUGCCUUGCACCUCUGUGGUUGGGGGUUCGAAUCCCACCUCUACCC